Molecule: long non-coding RNA, 879 nt
Organism: Aphis gossypii (cotton aphid)
Lineage: Eukaryota; Metazoa; Arthropoda; Insecta; Hemiptera; Aphididae
Exons: 6
Source: RefSeq, a predicted model, not a curated record
AAAUCUCAAAGUCCUCGUUUGAGCAACCCUUUAAAAUGUGGAUUGUGAAUUGAUCAAAUGUCAUAAACCUUCUCCGCAAUAAGCUCUUCAAUUUAAAAAAAAAUCAAAACGAUCGGUUCAGUAGUUUCCGAAAACAUAUCACUCAAAGGCAUAAAGAUAACGGCAAAAGUGAGCAACACAGUGGUUUCAGAAAUUAUCUUAGAUAUAUUAAUAGUAAACAUGUAUUAGGUUUCAAACUGAUGAACUUAAGGUUAAUAACUGAAUACAAUGAGCUCGCAAGAAUUUCGCCAAAAAAUCGAUGAAUUGUUAAUGGAAAACGAAUUUUCGCCGGCAAUAGGCAGAUAACGUCAACUGGCUUCUCUCACAUAGUCGAUCGAGGGACCAAAGAUAAAUCCACAGAUAUGUAAUACAACUAGAUAGCCAACUUGGCUGUAUUGUUGAAGCUCGAUAAAAUGGCCGACUUUUCUUAUCAAAGAGAUGCUGUAUUUUGAAAUGUACAAAUAAAAGAGUAAGUGGAAGUGGUAUUCACUUUUUUUGUAUUAUAUAUCUGUGGACAAAUCUAAUGAACGAAAUCACGUUCCUCAAUUUCUGCACUAAAGUUAGUCGCCUGAUAUAUUGACCUUUGUCAUAUCUCUCACAUACAUGCUAACACUAUUGGAACGUCUUGGACUAUGGUCCAUAUGAUAUGUAUAUCCCGGUGCUUUAGAACUUUUAAAGGUUUCAUUGAAGAGAAAUUCGUAUGGAAAUGAUCAAUCUUUUUGAUUUAAGAAGCCAGAAUACUAAUAAGCAAAUAAAAUUUAAUAUAAGAUAGGUAACAUAUUACCAUUAAAGUUGUCUUCAUUUGAUGUGGGAUCUAAUUCGUCUUCUCUUGGAACAACU